Molecule: ribosomal RNA, 468 nt
Filed under: uncultured bacterium
Lineage: Bacteria
Description: partial 16S ribosomal RNA
Rfam family: Bacterial small subunit ribosomal RNA
Source: RNAcentral
GACGAACGCUGGCGGCGUGCUUAACACAUGCAAGUCGAACGGACAGGCCCUGCUUUUGUGGGUUGCUCGAUUGGCGCACGGGUGAGUAACACGUGAGUAACCUGCCCUUGUCUUUGGGAUAACUUCAGGAAACUGGGGCUAAUACCGGAUAGGAGCUCCUGCUGCAUGGUGGGGGUUGGAAAGUUUCGGCGGUUGGGGAUGGACUCGCGGCUUCUCAGCUUGUUGGUGGGGUAGUGGCUUACCAAGGCUUUGACGGGUAGCCGGCCUGGGAGGGGGACCGGGGACAAUGGGACUGAGAGAGGGCGCAGACUGGUACGGGAGGCAGCAGGGGGGAAUAUGGCAGAAUGGGGGGAAGCGUGAUGUAGCAACGCCGCGAGCGGGAUGACGGGUUACGAGUGGUAAACCGAUGUGGCCGGUGACGAAGCGUGAGUGACGGUAAUGGGUAAAGAAGCACCGGCUAACUACGUG